UACAGAGGGUGCAAGCGUUAAUCGGAAUUACUGGGCGUAAAGCGUGCGUAGACGGUUAUUUAAGUCAGGUGUGAAAGCCCCGGGCUCAACCUGGGAAUUGCAUUUGAGACUGAAUAGCUAGGGUGCGGAAGAGGGAAGCGGAAUUUCCGGUGUAGCGGUGAAAUGCGUAGAGAUCGGGAGGAACAUCAGUUGCGAAGGCGGCUCUCUGGACCAGCACUGACACUGAGGCACGAAAGCGUGGGGAGCAAACAGG
This 253-nucleotide ribosomal RNA is filed under the name uncultured bacterium. Its description in RNAcentral is "partial 16S ribosomal RNA". It matches the Rfam family "Bacterial small subunit ribosomal RNA", at positions 524 to 776 of the family's 1533-position model. The record is from RNAcentral.